This is a long non-coding RNA of Sphaerodactylus townsendi, 141 nucleotides long. RefSeq lists it as uncharacterized. NCBI's taxonomy places the organism in Eukaryota, Metazoa, Chordata, Lepidosauria, Squamata, Sphaerodactylidae. The record is from RefSeq and is a predicted model, not a curated record. The transcript is spliced from 2 exons.
AGAACUCAUACAAAGGAGAGGCCUUUUGAAUGCUCAGAGUGUAGAAAGACAUUCAGUCAGAGUUGCCAUCUUCAAAGCAUCAUAGAACUCACACAAAGGAGAAACCUUUUGAAUGCUCAAAGUGUGGAAGGAGAUUCAGUC